Molecule: ribosomal RNA, 663 nt
Filed under: fungal endophyte
Lineage: Eukaryota; Fungi
Description: eukaryotic LSU rRNA
Rfam family: 5.8S ribosomal RNA (bases 164-317)
Source: RNAcentral
GGGAUCAUUACCGAGUGUGGCGCUCCGGCGCCUCCCUCCAACCCCAUGUCGAAACGACUCUGUUGCCUCGGGGGCGACCCGGCCUUCGGGCGUCGGGGCCCCCGGCGGACACCUUCAUAACUCUUGCAUCUCUUGCGUCUGAGUGAUACAUAUAAUCAAUCAAAACUUUCAACAACGGAUCUCUUGGUUCUGGCAUCGAUGAAGAACGCAGCGAAAUGCGAUAAGUAAUGUGAAUUGCAGAAUUCAGUGAAUCAUCGAAUCUUUGAACGCACAUUGCGCCCCCUGGCAUUCCGGGGGGCAUGCCUGUUCGAGCGUCAUUACACCACUCAAGCCUGGCUUGGUAUUGAGCGACCGCGGCCUGCCCGCGCGCUCCAAUGUCUCCGGCUGAGCCGUCCGUCUCUAAGCGUUGUGAAUAGCGAUCGCUUGCGAGGCCCGGGCGGUUCGACGCCGUUAAACCCCCCCCAUUUUCUAUGGUUGACCUCGGAUCAGGUAGGGAUACCCGCUGAACUUAAGCAUAUCAAUAAGCGGAGGAAAAGAAACCAACAGGGAUUGCCCUAGUAACGGCGAGUGAAGCGGCAACAGCUCAAAUUUGAAAUCUGGCGCAAGCCCGAGUUGUAAUUUGUAGAGGAUGCUUCUGGGCAGCGGCCGGUCUAAGUUCCUUGG